CUGCAGCAGCCCAGGCCGGGCGCGGGGAAUGAGCCGCUGGGGUCUGAAGGGAGCAGUCAAUAUCAAGAGGCUGGCCCCCCUAGCAGGUGCCUGGAGGCCCGCUUAGUGCAGGGAGAACGCCCCCAGGGGAGGCUGGUGCCAGGAGAGAACAAAUGGAAGAUGGAAUUAGGAGCCAGACUCUGAGGCAAGGUGAUGUGGAGACACAGAAAGGGGCGAUCUGGUGGGGGGAAGAAAUUGGAGUUUGAGAGUGGGAGAGGUUGCAGUGACACAAGAUCUCACGGGAUAGGCACUGUGUAGUGUAUGAGUAUGGGGAGGUACUCUGGGGUCUGGGGAGGAGCACUGGGGUCAAGAAGAGACUGGGUAAGAAAGCAGAUGGGUGGAUGGGAAAGGGGAAGAGGGAAAAUUUGGGAUCAAGCCAUCCCAGACCAGAACUAUAUUCCUCUUCUUGUUCUGAGUCCUCUCUCCAGCCUCCUUUCUGUAACCUGGGUUGCUGCUGCUCCCUUUCCUCAUGGUUUCCCUUUUGUGGUUGCAGCAGAGCUCACACUAGCCAGUGUUCUGGGAGAUGGAAAGAUUGCCCUGGGCCACCCCCAUCUUUGUCGUUUCCCAUUUUUCACAUUUUGCCCUUUCUCAGUAGCUGGAAUCUAGCUCCCAGGUCAGUGCCAGCUGUCGCUGGGGGUGCAGGGGAGCAGCUGGCUAUGCAAAGUCGCUUCCAGGCUGUGGACUCAGGGCUGAGAAAUAGGACACCUGCCAGUGCCCAUUCCAGCUUUGACCUGGCUGGGGCAGCCUUGGGUCAAGGCCUCUCUGUAGUCCUGGUUUCCACCAACAUCAGGAUGGGGAGCUGCAAGAGCCGUCUAGGCAGGCACCCCAGGACUGUGCCAGGAAGACCUGAUUUUAAGCCCUGAGUCUAUCAGUCGCAAGACAAGGGACCUCAGUGAAGGGAGGGGAGGCACUGCGAGAAUGCAGCACCUGAGCGGGUCUCGCCUCAGCUCUUCACCUUUAAGGAAAAUAAAGAACAUUGAGGAAGUAAUGAAGGGAAUCUCUACUCUGAACUUAAGUCUGACCUAAAGAAAUAGAAGGUUUGCUCCUGGCCUUUGGGAUUCAGCAGUCCCCUCCCUCUCCUCCCCGGGAUGUCAGGUAACACGCUGGGAGUUCUGUCAACAAGUUAUUAAACGUCUCAGGAUUCUGCUAAGAGCUGGCGGAUAAUCUAGUUGGGGGUUCAAGAAUGCAAGUGAAAACAUUAAAAGAAAGUUUCUGCCCACUAAGCAGUCUAAGGCGAGAGGUCAUCUGCCUCGUGUCCUGACACCAUCUCAAGACUGGCAUACAUCACUAACUAGGUUGGCUUCCACGCCCAGCAGUGCCCAUGUGGUUGGCGCCAUCGGAAUUUCAAGCAUUCCCCCGCCCCUCUCUGCACACGGGAGAACCUUGAAUCGCUGACAGGCCUAAAGCUAGAGAGCAAGAGGGUCCCCCGACACAGGGCAAGCGCACAGGGCGUCGGCCGCCUCCUCAGAGCAGACCCAGGCAGCGUCCCUGAGCGGGGCAGCGCUCACGCGGGUCGGCCACCGGGCGGAGGGGGUGCCAGGCUCGCCCCGGGUGCCCGCACCUCUCGCCAGCCCCCGGAAGAGCCGCCCUCCCGCCCAGCGGGCUCCGAGGGGGCGGGGAGUCGAACGCCCCCUUCCGGGUGCCUCCGCCCGGCUGGCCAGCCCCGCUCCUCCUCCGGGCGGGAAUCCUCCCUCCCCGCCCCUCCCGGAGCCGGCCCCGGCACCAGGCCCGGCCCCAGGGGGGAACCCCCAGCCCCGGCUCCCCCUCCCUGCGGCCUCUGCCCGUCUUCCCGACCCUUGAGAGCCGGGAAGACCCCGCCGGCAGCGGCCAGGACCCACCGCUCAUUACGACAUCUUCCUCCCUGGCCUCCGCCGCCUCCGCCGCCACCGAGAGCCUGACACCGCCCGCCUAGCACCCGCCAAUCCCGGAGCCCGCCACCGCCCGAGCGACGGCAGCGUUCACCAAUAAGAGCUUGGUACAUUGGGGACCGACAGCACUACCAACCAAUCAAAGAGAGGCAUCUAGAGCGACGUUGGUUUGGCCAAUAGACCUGCGAAAUGUCACUGAUGGACGGUAGAGGGCACCAACCGAAAGCCUACUGAAGAGUGAACGACAUGUUCGCCAGCCAACUGGCGGGAGGCAAAGUCCCGCCUACGAGGUGGUUGAUAGACAGUAACAGGAAGCUAGGUGGGGAGGGGCUUAGCUGAGGAAUGGUUUUGUAUUGGUUGUGGUUGACCUUCCACCCACCUCUAACCCAGGAGAUGAGUGAUAGAUCUGCCCUAAAGCCAAUCAGAAGUCCUCAGGGUGAGGCCGAAAAAUGACCCAUAAAUAGCAUCUACUUUGCGUCUCCAACCCGUGCUGCUCUGGUGUGGCGAAAGCCUGCGGCUUUUCGACCACUCAACCCCGUGCCUGGUGAGUGGAAAGUCACGGGUCUUUUAUUUACCCUCUCGGCCUUCAUCGCUUCUGGAGAGGGAAGUGAGCCUCCAGGAGACUUUGUACAGCGAGGCAUUGGCGUCACACACAAUAGCGGGAGUUGGAGCUACGUGACACCUCUGAGAGAGAAGAGUAUUUUCGCCGUCUCACUUCAAACUCCUCUUAAUCCUCACCUGGUUAUUGCAUCAGCCCGCUAACGUGCGCAUCAGAAUCACCUGAAGCUCUCUAAAAGUAGAUUCCCAGGGCUGCCUCUCCUGCCUGGGGCACUCCUGGAAAAAGCAUUCUAACCAGCGCCUCCGGUGGACAGAAUUGGCCUCAGCCCCACUUGCCUCUUUGAAUGAGGUGCUGUGAGUAGAGCGCUUGGCCAAGGCACUACCCGGGUAGCUUUAUCUUCGCUAUGGAUGUGUAACUUUGGAAGGCUUUAGUGAGGAGGAAUCCACUCUGAUUUCAGACCAGCCUGGGUUCGAAACUCGCACAGCCUACUUACAGAGAGGCAGGGUACUGAAACUCCGUGCGCCUCUGUCCUCAUCUGUAAAAUGAGGCUAAUCACACCCACACCAUAGAGCAGUGACUCUCCUUUUUUUAAAAUCAUAACCCCACAGUGAGAAAUACAUUUGCAUCCUGACCCGGUAUACUUAUACUCCUGUGAAUGUAUGGUAAAAAUUUCCAAAAACAAUACUUACCCUUCCUACCUGCGACGCACUGAUGUUUUCUAUCCUGUCCUAUCUUAUUCUUUCUUCCCUCCCUCCCUCCUUCCUCCUUUCCUUCCUUCCUCUAGUGAUUUACAAUAUUGUCUUAGUUUCAGGGGUACAGCACAGUGAUUCAGAUAUAGAUAUAGAGUCCUUUUCAGAUUCUUUUUCCCUAUAGGUUAUUACAAAAUAUUGAGCAUAGUUUCCUGUGCUAUAACAAUAGGUCCUUGUUGGUUAUCUAUUUUAUAUAGAGCAGUGUGUCUAUAUUAAUCCCAAUGUCUAGUUUAUCCACUUCCUUUUCUUGAUCAUGACUGGCAGUUUGAAGGGAUCAUGACUCGCAUAAAGGGUUGGUGUGAUAAAAUGCAGAGCAGAAUGCCCGGCAUAUUGUGAUUGUUGAAUAAAUGUUAAUAGUCUCUUCCAGUCUACCCCUCUCAGAUUUAGCCUUUGAAAAAACAAGACUUCAAAAGAUAUCACUCCUUUAAUUAAGAUCCUUCAUUGGCUCCCUGCACCCUUUUGGAUUAAAAAGUCCAUACUCCUUUCUAGGCAAACAAUGUCCUUCACACUCUAGUGUACCUUUCACACUUUGUCUCCCUCUGCCACCCUGUUCUCUUUCCACAA
Long non-coding RNA from Hippopotamus amphibius kiboko, 3779 nucleotides. RefSeq lists it as uncharacterized. NCBI's taxonomy places the organism in Eukaryota, Metazoa, Chordata, Mammalia, Artiodactyla, Hippopotamidae. The transcript has 4 exons. The record is from RefSeq and is a predicted model, not a curated record.